RNAcentral lists this unclassified non-coding RNA (1447 nucleotides) under uncultured Dothideomycetes. Its description in RNAcentral is "sequence contains 18S rRNA gene, ITS1, 5.8S rRNA gene, ITS2, 28S rRNA gene". The stretch from base 507 to 1447 matches the Rfam family "Eukaryotic large subunit ribosomal RNA", at positions 1 to 961 of the family's 3401-position model. The record is from RNAcentral. Lineage: Eukaryota; Fungi; Ascomycota; Dothideomycetes.
GGAAGGAUCAUUACUGAGAACCGGCGCCCUCGUGGCCCGACCCUCAAACCACCGAGUACCUUACCCCAACGUUGCCUCGGCGGGCGCGGCCUCGCGCCGCCCCGCCGGUGGACAAAACCAUAACAGCUUUGUAUGACGAUUGUCUGAUAUUACUCUUCGCGAAUGCGAUAAAGUACAACUUUCAACAAUGGAUCUCUUGGCUCCGGCAUCGAUGAAGAACGCAGCGAAAUGCGAUAACUAGUGUGAAUUGCAGAUUUCAGUGAAUCAUCGAGUCUUUGAACGCACAUUGCGCCCCCUGGUAUUCCUAGGGGCAUGCCUAUUCGAGCGUCGUUUCCACCCUCAAGCGCAAGCUUGGUGUUGGGGAUCGCCCCUCCCUCGCGGAGGCCGGCGUCCCUCGAAUCCAUCGGCGGUGCCGGUGCGGCCCUGAGCGCAGCAGCGAUGCAGCUCGAGGGUCCGCUCGACACGUGCCGCGAACGGCAGCGGAGACGCGGCCACGCUUCAAACGUCGACCUCGAAUUAGGUAGGGAUACCCGCUGAACUUAAGCAUAUCAAUAAGCGGAGGAAAAGAAACCAACAGGGAUUGCCUCAGUAACGGCGAGUGAAGCGGCAACAGCUCAAAUUUGAAAUCUGGCUCCUUUGGCGCCCGAGUUGUAAUUUGUAGAGGAUGCUUCGGCGUCGGCCCCGCCCAAAGUUCCUUGGAACGGGACGUCAUAGAGGGUGAGAGCCCCGUGUCUAGGCGGAUGCCUUCGCCAUGUGAAGCUCCUUCGACGAGUCGAGUUGUUUGGGAAUGCAGCUCAAAACGGGAGGUAAAUUUCUUCCAAAGCUAAAUACCGGCCGGAGACCGAUAGUGCACAAGUAGAGUGAUCGAAAGAUGAAAAGCACUUUGGAAAGAGAGUCAAACAGCGCGUGAAAUUGUUGAAAGGGAAGCGCUUGUGGCCAGACUUGGCCGCGGUUGUUCGGCGGGGCUUCUGCCCCGUUUACUCUUCCGCGGCCGGGCCAGCAUCGACUUGGGCGGCUGGAUAAAGAUCGCGGGAACGUGGCUCCCUCCGGGGAGUGUUAUAGCCCGCGAUGCAAUGCAGCCUGCCCGGGUCGAGGUCUGCGCAUCUGCUAGGAUGCUGGCGUAAUGGCCCCAAGCGGCCCGUCUUGAAACACGGACCAAGGAGUCUAACAUUCGUGCGAGUGUUCGGGCGUGAAAACCCGUGCGCGCAAUGAAAGUGAACGGAGGUGGGAACCUUAGGGCGCACCAUCGACCGAUCCUGAUGUCUUCGGAUGGAUUUGAGUAUGAGCACGUAUGUUGGGACCCGAAAGAUGGUGAACUAUGCCUAAGCAGGGCGAAGCCAGAGGAAACUCUGGUGGAGGCUCGCAGCGGUUCUGACGUGCAAAUCGAUCGUCAAAUUUGGGUAUAGGGGCGAAAGACUAAUCGAACCAUCUAGUAGCUGGUUCCUGC